AGCUUUGCGCAGUGGCAGUAUCAUAGCCAAUGAGUUUAUCCGAGACGCGAUUAUUGCUAAUUGAAAAAAUAUCCCUAUUCCUAAAUAUAUAUAGCUGUGCAAAUCUAAAUUUAUCCAUAAAUUCUUAAGUU
Molecule: small nuclear RNA, 131 nt
Organism: Erinaceus europaeus (western European hedgehog)
Lineage: Eukaryota; Metazoa; Chordata; Mammalia; Eulipotyphla; Erinaceidae
Gene: U4
Rfam family: U4 spliceosomal RNA
About the family: U4 small nuclear RNA (U4 snRNA) is a component of the major U2-dependent spliceosome. The structure of U4 snRNA from yeast and human has been reported.
Source: Ensembl